This is a long non-coding RNA of Setaria italica (foxtail millet), 4059 nucleotides long. RefSeq lists it as uncharacterized. The transcript is spliced from 3 exons. The record is from RefSeq and is a predicted model, not a curated record. Lineage: Eukaryota; Viridiplantae; Streptophyta; Magnoliopsida; Poales; Poaceae.
GGUGUCUCCGGCUCUGGCUCCGGUCCUGGGCCGCAGUCGAGGUUCACGCCGAAUAGCCGGAGCCGCCGGGAUGGUGCUGAUGCUGCACUGCAACUCCUGUUAUCUCUGUCCCACUGAGAUUCUCCUGCAAUUGUUCAGAAGAAUGGUGUAAGAGGACCAGAGGAACGGGAAUAUGUGAUUAUUAUCUCACGUGGCAUUAGUCUUAUCUGUCCUGCUUUCUGUUCCUGGGGCUUCAAGUUCCCAAGCGCCAAAAUAUUCCAACAUUGGAAUGGGAAAUAGGAUCAAGAUUGGAUCUGCACAAAGAUCUGCCUUCUCCAAUUUCCAAAAGAAUUUUGAAUCAGAUGGUAAGAGUUUUGUUCCCAGAUCCUUUCUCUACUGAUGUGUGCACAAUACAACUUGUAGCCCUCACAGUUCCUCACCCCUAUUAGAUGCGAAUCCCCAUGCAUUAUUCUUAAUUUUGUUGUUUCCUGUGUGCAUGAACAUAGAAAUAUGCAACAAGUGAAGGUGAUAAUCACUUGCUACAUGCACAAAGGCACUGCAAAAGACUACUAUACUUGAUGGCAUGGCAUAGGUAAUCUUGAUUAAACUAUAAGUAGCCUAUGUUUAGCAUCUCUUGGAGCAUGAAACAGCAUGAAACCACGAACGAUUGAGUUCAGCUCGUUCGUGGAAUCUCGGCUACAAAAGCCGUGAAGGGUACUCCAUUGCCGCUCGAUGCGAAUGAUGAGCCCUUGUUUGCAAAAGUUGAAUAGACUUGUAGAGGCGCAUGUUUCAAUUUCCUAUGGUCUCAUGGGAUGAGAUCAUGAGACUUUAUAAACAUAUGUGAGUGCUGAGUUCCCAUUGCAAAGGUUUUUUUUGACCACAUUAACUUGAUGAGAUGACCUUGUCAAAAACCUUAAACAUGGAGAAAGAGAAACACAAGUAUAGAAAUUUACACUCAUAAGGCUCUUCUAUUAUUGGCAGCAGCAUAUUUGCAUGUAUUACAUUGACCAAGAACAUAAUCUAGAUACUUUAUUUCCAUGCGAAUUUGUUAAACAUGUGGCAGGAUGUACUAGAUUGUAACUACACGGGUACUGAUUUGCAACAACUGAAUAGUGCAUGCACUGGUUAUGAAUUUUGACCAAGUGCACAAUAUUUAAAACAUGACCAUGCGAGUACCAGCAGGGAACCACGCAGCAGGUCCUUUUCUUAACUCAAUCAUGGAGCUCACCUGCCCCCCAAAGCUUUUGAUAAUGUAGGUUUGGUUUCUCCAUGCACAUGAAUGAUUUGGUAUCUUGCGGAAUUGAAUACAAGAUAACUCAAGAUAAGGGGACACAUGCUAUUGCCCCUGGCUUUGUUUAUUGUUGUGGUGGUCUCGGUUCCCUUUUCGUACGGCCAUGCUUGUUUCGCCAAAGUCCAUGCAUGUAUUGGCGCUGAAUAACCUCGAGCGCCAUGUUACCCUCACUCUGCUCACAAAUGCCGCCCGUCGAAAUGUGCAAUUAAGCUUUGCUGAUUUUGGUCCUUUGAUGUGGUAUGCAUUAGCUAGCCGGAAAUUAUACUUACAAGCUAUAAGAUCUAUCCUUAAAAACGAAAUGUGAAUAUCAUGGAAAAUGCUCAUGUAUGCCCUGCAAAAUUCUAAACUGUUACAGUGAGUCCUGCUUGUUCAUUGCAAUCAUACGGGAGGAGUGGGGGCAAACCCUCACUGUAGAAUGCAGAUUAUAUUCUGUUGCAUAAUUGCCAUUCUUUGCUUGCCUUUUGGAAGGAGGCAAGCAGCAUCCUGGUUCCUGGAGCACAUCUCGCAAGAUCUCGGCGGCUAAACUUUCCAUCCUUUUGCGCUGGGACCAUUCCUCCAACUGAUGUCAUUUGUUUCUUCUUCUUCUUUUUCCUCCCCCUUCGAAACAACUGAUGUCAUUUCUGUGGUUGCUGUUCAGCUGUUCUACUCGAUGGAGGCUCGCUCACGUUCAGGACGAUCUGGAGCGACGCGUAUCUUUGUGCGCAAAGCAGAGGCGCGGAAGACGAUCUGGAGGUGAGCCGGGCCUUUUUUCCUCGCGCACUGAGGAGUGAGUAGUGAGGUGAUGAUGGGGAGAGGAACUGGUAUGUUUCGCAGGCGCCUUUUUUUGCCGUCGCAGGGCCUGCAGGCCGUCGUGCCGCUAUACCUUGUGUGUGUAUCUUUUCUUGUGUGUCAGCGGUGCGUGGAGAUAAAGGCUUGAGCUCAGUGGCGCGGCAGGGGGACAAAGCGGACGCAAGCAUGCGCUUGUGGCGAGGCGUGACCGUGUGAAUAGUGCCCGAAUCUCUCUGUGUGUGCAUGAAACUGUGAUGGGCUGAAUGGCUGAUGGCCUGCUUGGCUGUUGGCUGCUGCCGAGAAGUGAGCCAAUUGGGUUUGAGGUCACGGUGAACGCUAGGAAGUUAUUACUCUGUUACCCUGUCACUCAUGACCGCAUUAUUCCUUGCCACAUUUAGUUUACGUCGUUUUCCCUAGUCUUUUUCUUUUUCGUCAGCUUGUGACUGCUGGUUUAAUUACUUUUACAGUGGGAUGGGCACACAACACAUGCAUAAGAGCUCAGAAAAGAAGAACAGGGAGGGGUUUACGAGUUACCGCCACGUCAGCAUCCAUGCAGUGCAGUGCAGGACUACGGGAGGCAGCAAUUGGAGGAGGAGCGGUGAGACCGAGGCGCUGGCGUAAGCCGCGGGUAGCGUGCGGCAGGUGCCUUGUCCAGGCCGGUGUGCGCCAUGAUCGGGGUUCAGCUAGAACAUGGAGCAGCUCGCCGGCCACUUGGCUAGCUCUCGGCGCAGCUCCUCGCCUCCUCGCCAUCGUCCACCCGGCCCCCCACCCCACGGCGGAUCAUCAGGAAUGAUGCAAUGGAACGCUGCUGGUGUCUUGCAUCAUGUGCGUGUACCGUGUGUGACAGCAUGAUCCACAGUGCCUCAAUCAACUGACCUUGCUGCUGCUGCGACUGCGAGGUGACUGUGUGUGUGAGAGUGACCAUCAACCAUUGGCCGGCUCGCCUGCUCUCCGGGAGGGUGAACACUGAUCAGGACAGGGCUACGCUACGCUACGCUACACAGCAGAUGAUGGCACAUGCGCCUAGUCUCUGAUGGUUCCCAACAGGUGGUAGGGGCUGCGCCAAAUUCCCAAUCAGGUGACACUCCUGACCUCCUGAACCAACCAACCUACCAGCAAGCGGCGGUGCGUCACCGGAUUUCCGUGGUGGGCCUGCCUGCCGCCUGGGCUGCUGCUGAUCGGCGCAUGCCAUAUGGGCCUCUCGCAUGGUCCCUCCCGGUGGUUUCCCAUUCGCCAUUCCAUUCAUCAUGCAUGCGGCAUGUUUGUUUGGAGGAGAGAGCAUGAGCAUCCGGUGGAAAGCAGAAAAGGUGGCAUUCAAACUGUUCUGGUAGAUCCGGCUGAUGAUUGAUGCAUGGAGACUGGAGAGAGGUUAGUUAUGGAGCUCGUUAUUGUGCUAGCUGCAUCCUCUGCCCUACUCUACUCUAUCAUCGUGCAUCCAUCAUCUGCCGCUGGAGGUCAGGUCAGGUGCCCAUCGAUUCUUCGUCCUUCAUAACGUGUCCUUUGUGGCUGUGCUGCUCGAUCAUCGGCUGAUGAGGUCUGUCCACUCCAAAAUGUGAUCUCUUCCCUCAUCAAUCGCUCACAUGGCGCCGCCGCCGCCGCAACUUGCAUUGUGAUCUAACAUGGUUCGAUCCAGGCCCCUGACUCCUUUUAGUUUCUCUUCGCAUUCGUCGCAGAACUUCGUGGCACAAGUGAUAAUUGCCUUUGGGCCAGAUGUGGCGCCUGCAUGUUCCGAAACAGGGACGUCCCAUCCCCUGGUUCCUUUGCGGCACAAUACAGGAUUAGAUCCGAUGGAAGCUGAUCACGCGACAAUCAGUUUGCCCAAUGCUCCCUAGUUUUUCUAUGAAUCCCGUGUGCAAUUUGUCACUGCUGGGCUAAGCUAUCUACAUUGGACAAGGAUCAUGGUCCUCUAGAUAUGCUUAGGGGCGGAAUUAGAAACUCACAUUUCUCCUUAUUAGGAGGGCAAUAGCUUUUUAAAAUAAACUUAAAAUUUGAAAUUUUCCAAUGGAAAUGUAAUAAGUUCA